UACGUAGGUGGCGAGCGUUGUCCGGAUUUACUGGGCGUAAAGGGAGCGUAGGCGGAUUUUUAAGUGAGAUGUGAAAUACUCGGGCUCAACUUGAGUGCUGCAUUUCAAACUGGAAGUCUAGAGUGCAGGAGAGGAGAACGGAAUUCCUAGUGUAGCGGUGAAAUGCGUAGAGAUUAGGAAGAACACCAGUGGCGAAGGCGAUUCUCUGGACUGUAACUGACGCUGAGGCUCGAAAGCGUGGGGAGCAAACAGG
Molecule: ribosomal RNA, 253 nt
Filed under: uncultured bacterium
Lineage: Bacteria
Description: partial 16S ribosomal RNA
Rfam family: Bacterial small subunit ribosomal RNA
Source: RNAcentral